GACGAACGCUGGCGGCGUGCUUAACACAUGCAAGUCGAACGGUGAAGCGCCUUCCUUUUUGGUGGGUGUGGAUGAGUGGCGAACGGGUGAGUAACACGUGAGUAACCUGCCCCCUUCUUCUGGAUAACCGCAUGAAAGUGUGGCUAAUACGGGAUAUUCUGGGUCUGUCGCAUGAUGGGUCUGGGAAAGAUAUUGUUUCGGUGGGGGAUGGGCUCGCGGCCUAUCAGCUUGUUGGUGGGGUGAUGGCCUACCAAGGCGGUGACGGGUAGCCGGCCUGAGAGGGUGGACGGUCACACUGGGACGGAGACACGGCCCAGACUCCUACGGGAGGCAGCAGGGGGGAAUAGUGCACAAUGGGCGCAAGCCUGAUGCAGCGACGCCGCGUGAGGGAUGGAGGCCUUCGGGUUGUGAACCUCUUUCGCCAGUGAAGCAGGCCUGCCUCGUUUGUGGGUGGGUUGACGGUAGCUGGAUAAGAAGCGCCGGCUAACUACGUG
RNAcentral lists this ribosomal RNA (494 nucleotides) under uncultured bacterium. RNAcentral describes it as "partial 16S ribosomal RNA". It matches the Rfam family "Bacterial small subunit ribosomal RNA", at positions 28 to 507 of the family's 1533-position model. The record is from RNAcentral.